UACGUAGGUGGCAAGCGUUGUUCGGAUUUACUGGGCGUAAAGGGCGUGCAGGCGGUCUGUUAAGUUCAGGGCGAAAGCUCCCGGCUCAACUGGGAGAGGUCCUUGGAUACUGGCAGACUUGAGGGAGGUAGAGGAGAGUGGAAUUCCCGGUGUAGUGGUGAUAUGCGUAGAUAUCGGGAGGAACACCAGUGGCGAAGGCGGCUCUCUGGGCCUUUCCUGACGCUGAGACGCGAAAGCGUGGGGAGCGAACCGG
RNAcentral lists this ribosomal RNA (253 nucleotides) under uncultured bacterium. RNAcentral's name for it is "partial 16S ribosomal RNA". It matches the Rfam family "Bacterial small subunit ribosomal RNA", at positions 524 to 776 of the family's 1533-position model. The record is from RNAcentral.